GAUAGGUGGCCCAGUAGUAGGGUGCUUGCUCAGCAUGCAUGAGACACUGGGUUCAAUCCCCAGUACUAUCA
This 71-nucleotide transfer RNA is filed under the name Heterocephalus glaber (naked mole-rat). It matches the Rfam family "tRNA". From Rfam's summary of the family: Transfer RNA (tRNA) molecules are approximately 80 nucleotides in length. Their secondary structure includes four short double-helical elements and three loops (D, anti-codon, and T loops). Further hydrogen bonds mediate the characteristic L-shaped molecular structure. tRNAs have two regions of fundamental functional importance: the anti-codon, which is responsible for specific mRNA codon recognition, and the 3' end, to which the tRNAs corresponding amino acid is attached (by aminoacyl-tRNA synthetases). tRNAs cope with the degeneracy of the genetic code in two manners: having more than one tRNA (with a specific anti-codon) for a particular amino acid; and 'wobble' base-pairing, i.e. permitting non-standard base-pairing at the 3rd anti-codon position. Lineage: Eukaryota; Metazoa; Chordata; Mammalia; Rodentia; Bathyergidae. The record is from Rfam by way of RNAcentral.